UUUUUGUACUGGAGAUUUUGUUACUUUGAGUAAAUUAGAGUGUUCAAAGCAAACAGUUAAAGCAUUUUACUGCGUUUGAAUACUACAGCAUGGAAUAACAAAAUUGAACAAGUCAAAAGUCUGUUCCUUUUUCUUAUUUUGGCUUAGUUACGAUUAAUAGGAGUAGCUUGGGGGCAUUUGUAUUCAGAUGUCAGAGGUGAAAUUCUUAGAUUUUCUGGAGACAAACAACUGCGAAAGCAUUUGCCUAAAAUACUUCCAUUAAUCAAGAACGAAAGUUAAGGGAGUGAAGACGAUCAGAUACCGUCGUAAUCUUAACCAUAAACUAUGCCGACUAGGUUUUGGAUGAAAGAUUUUUAAAUAAGAAAAUUCCUUUUGGAAAUUUCUUAGAUUGCUUCCUUCAGUACCUUAUGAGAAAUCAAAGUCUUUGGGUUCUGGGGCGAGUAUUCGCGCAAGCGAGAAAGUUAAAAGAAUUGACGGAAGGGCACCCCCAGGCGUGGAGCUUGCGGCUUAAUUUGACUCAACACGGGGAAACUCACUAGUUUAAGACAAGAGUAGGAUUGACAGAUUAAUAGCUCUUUCUUGAUUUCUUGGAUGGUGAUGCAUGGCCGUUUUUAGUUCGUGAAUAUGAUUUGUCUGGUUAAUUCCGAUAACGAACGAGAUCUUAACCUGCUAAUUAGCGGCGAAUACGUUAUAUUCCUACU
Molecule: ribosomal RNA, 701 nt
Filed under: Plasmodium ovale wallikeri
Lineage: Eukaryota; Apicomplexa; Aconoidasida; Haemosporida; Plasmodiidae
Description: SSU rRNA
Rfam family: Eukaryotic small subunit ribosomal RNA
Source: RNAcentral